Aphis gossypii (cotton aphid) is the source of this 1517-nucleotide long non-coding RNA. RefSeq lists it as uncharacterized. The transcript is spliced from 2 exons. Lineage: Eukaryota; Metazoa; Arthropoda; Insecta; Hemiptera; Aphididae. The record is from RefSeq and is a predicted model, not a curated record.
CGUCUUCGCAAAUGUAAUGCAAUUAUUAAUAUUAUUAGAUUAAGUAUUGAAAUAGCAUCACGGCACAUAGUGGCAUAGUAAAAUAAUUGGAAACUCAGUAAUGCUAUAUAAUGUAUAUUAUGUGAUAUCACGUGCAAAAUGUUUUUAUACGUUAGAUUAUUAAAUUAUCGCAUCAUAAUAUAAUAUUUUUUUGCUAAUUACAUGUAGACCGCGUAAUUGGGAAUUACCAGGAUUUGAAAAAUACACAUUACUCAAACAGGUCAUGACACCGACUGCUUGAAAUACAACUAUAUAAGAAGCUUAAAAUGUGAUUCUUUUCAGAUCAUUUCCAAGAGUGACGAGCGAAGAUUUUUCACUACGAGGACGACCGACAUUGAACUAAAAACUUCAAAGAAGCUCAAUCAAUACAUACAACUCAAAAAAAAAAAACAACAACUGUUCAACAAUCCAGUAUACACACACACUCCAAAAGUCUACAAAGAUUGCCGAAUCAACUGUAUUAUAAAUUUUAAUUGGAUUCGUGUCAGCUGUAUCGUAAAAUUUUUAAUUUGAGUGCAUCGCUGUGAGAAACCGUUUCAAAAUGAAGUCAAUAUAUUUUGCUGUCUGUAUUGUCGUUGUAUUGGUAUACGGUGACGUAGUAAACGGACAGUUCGGUGGCUUCUUCAACCCCACCUCUCUUUUAGGUCCACUUCGUUCAGUAAUUGAUAGCGAAUUAGAAAAACAAGAUUUCGGUAACUUAGAUACUAAAUUCGGCUAUAUGAUUUUUGAUCUUCGUAAAUUUUGCCAGAAAUCUAUUGAUGAAAUAAGAGAUCGGUAUGGAUUGAAUACUGAUUAUGAAAUGGCGGAUAAUGCUAUAAACGAAGUUCUGAGUCGACAUUGUCGUGAUAACAAACCAAAAGAUCCAAAUAUGUUUAAAGGAAAACUUGCCCAAGGUAUUUUCAAAGGUUUUGAAGUUUAGGAGCAAUAUUCAGUUCUUAAUUUCUAUUAGUUGAUGCUGUAUUUGCCUAGAGAUAAAAAUCCGUAUCCUAAUCGGGUAAACACAAAAUUAUUAUUUUAAAUAAUAUGUCUAGUAAUAUACUUUCUAACACAUAAACUAUUAAUUUGUGUAGUAAAAAAAAAAUACAAUAAUUGUUUUAAGUUUUGAAUUUAUUAUAAUUUAUGAUAAUAUAUCUACUUAUUUAGUAAGUGAUUGUGUUAAUUAAAAAAAACAAAAAAUAUUUAACAUACUUAAAAAUAUUUUAUAUUCUUAUUCAACCACUUAUAACUUUAUAUUUAGCAUUUUAUAGUCGUUUUAAUUUGUAAACUGUUUGCUUUUUGUUAAACUAAUCUCAUUUUUCUUUAUUUCUGUAUAUUUUUAUAUCUUGUUUUCUGUAUAAUAAUAUUAUUCAUAUUAUAUAUACCUGUUUACUCAUUAUAAUUAUACUAAAAAGGCUCAGCCCGUAUGUUUAUAAUAAAUAAAUAUUGUACUGUUAUUAUAUAUGUAUACAUUAGAAAACAAUUAAAUGAUUAUAUUUAUA